GAUGAACGCUGGUGGCGUGCCUAAUACAUGCAAGUCGAGCGAACAGAUAAGGAGCUUGCUCCUUUGACGUUAGCGGCGGACGGGUGAGUAACACGUGGGUAACCUACCUAUAAGACUGGCAUAACUCCGGGAAACCGGGGCUAAUGCAGGAUAACAUGUUGAACCGCAUGGUUCUACAGUGAAAGGCGACUUUGCUGUCACUUAUAGAUGGACCCGCGCCGUAUUAGCUAGUUGGUGAGGUAACGGCUCACCAAGGCAACGAUACGUAGCCGACCUGAGAGGGUGAUCGGCCACACUGGAACUGAGACACGGUCCAGACUCCUACGGGAGGCAGCAGUAGGGAAUCUUGCGCAAUGGGCGAAAGCCUGACGGAGCAACGCCGCGUGAGUGAUGAAGGUCUUCGGAUCGUAAAGCUCUGUUAGUAGGGAAGAACAAAAGCGUGAGUAACUGUGCGCGUCUUGACGGCACCUAAUCAGAAAGCCACGGCUAACUACGUG
This 497-nucleotide ribosomal RNA is filed under the name uncultured bacterium. RNAcentral's name for it is "partial 16S ribosomal RNA". It matches the Rfam family "Bacterial small subunit ribosomal RNA", at positions 28 to 507 of the family's 1533-position model. The record is from RNAcentral.